RNAcentral lists this long non-coding RNA (2399 nucleotides) under Homarus americanus (American lobster). RNAcentral describes it as "uncharacterized LOC121857581". The record is from RNAcentral. Lineage: Eukaryota; Metazoa; Arthropoda; Malacostraca; Decapoda; Nephropidae.
GCACCUGUCGUUCCUUUUUUUUGUUUUAUUUAAUAAGUUUUAUAGUAUAUGAUGGUCACCUUAUUAAUAAUGUACCAUUUUGUGUGAUUACAAUUACACUACACACACUUAGUCGAAGUGACCAGUUAUUAGUGUUGAUAUUAAUGGGAUAAAUAUUAGAUAAGUUUAUUGGAGUUUGCUAUAAAAUAUGUGACUAUAAUUAUAAAUUGUGAGUGUGAAGAAGGGUUUAUAAGUUGUAUAUAUGUCAAUUAGAGGAACAAAUAAUUUGCUAACCACACCCUAGUCCUUCAAUGGAAAACGCAUCGAAAUGCGCAGCGGCGAAUGCAUUCGGCGGGAGAAUAAUGCGGCGACACGCGUAGAAUACUCGUACGCCACUCUCGGGCACGUACGUUUCCAUUUACUAAAGUUAGGUGGGUUUGUUUGGGUGGCGUGGGACCCAGAGGGCAUCGGCAGGCGGUCGCGUCCGGCGGUUGCCGUGCGAGAAAUUGGGAGGACGGGCUUUCACGUUGCAGAAACUAAGGAACGGCAUCUUCCGGCGGAACCACAGCCCGCGAUUAAAGGAACGCUCGGGUUUGACGCCCACGGACCGAGCGCGCGGCUCCUCCGCCGUAACAAGAGUAGUCGAUUGAAGUCCCCUCUUUUGCCUGGGUGGAUGUGUCUGUGCUAACCGUUUUAGGCAAGUGAAUGUUUGGUACAGCAGAUUUGGGGAUUCAUUGUAGGGUAGACUUGCCAUACAGUGCAGUGUUUUAAUUGGUAUUAUAUUGCGGCGAUCGGCGAGCACGGAGACCGAAGCCUCACUCGACCGUGUCUCGGGAGGCGUGGGGUUUGGUCCGAGGCCACUCGCAGUCAUCGUCGAGGGUAUAGUCCGGAACGCCGUUCGACGCGACGUCUCGUCGAAAUUCCGGAGCGGUCUUCUCGUCGCGGGGCGCGCCGGAGGUCGACGCUACGACGUUCCCGGAGGGGUCGUCGUCGUCGUCGUCGGGUAUUUGACGUGCAUCCGGAGUAGAACGAGGGCACGCGUCGAACCGUCGAAAGUGCGCAAGAAAUGAGAUCGCGUAAAUAACGGCAGAUUAAUUUCGUCGACACUCGUACGUAUAAGAGUGCAAAGUAAAUAAAUAAUACGUAUUUUUUUUAUGGGAAUUAGCCCACCCGGGCACGGGUCACCGACCCACAUCGGGGCGAAAAUGUAAUAAUAAUAAUAAUUGUUGAAGUUACAGUGUUCAUUUUUGGUGGAUAUCAACGAAAUAUGAUGCGAGAGGCUCAGACGACGACACAAACGACGACGCUCUCUCCGGUAUAUUUUCGGGACCGUCCGUAAAAACGAAACCAAAACACGCGUGCGCAUUCAAAGUGGCGCAUUAUUGCACAAGUAAAAUAAAACAUAUUGCCAUAAAUAUGGGGUAACCUAGUUUAUAUGUAACAAUAAUACUGAAGAACCUUAAAGAAAUACAAAAUGGAAAAAAAAAUCAAAAGUGAGGAACAAUAGAUUUAUGUUGUGUUGUAAGAGAAACAAUCGAGACAGAGAGUCAGACGAGCGACCCGGGACUCGGUCACAAUUUUAGGGAUGCCACGUAGCAGGAAGAUCUACCACGGACGACACAUUACGCUUCCAAUAUUGUCUGCGGAGGUGGUAUCUCCCCGUUUGGUGGCUGCCUAAGUAUGUAAGAUUUUCCAAUGGAAAGUGUAUGUUUGGCAAAUGUAUCCAGGUCUUUAGAGAAUGUACUCAGAUAUUUGGGUUAGGUGUCAAGGGUUCAUGUAUAAUUUGCAUGCCUAAUUGACUAUGUAUAUUUUUUAACCUUAAUUUUUCAUUUGCAGUCACCCGACGGGAGUCAGAAACGUCAUUUUUGUGCGGACCGGCGACUCGACGGACCCCGGCCGAGGACGCCGCUCGAACCGCGGUUGCGGAGGAGCGCGCCGAUACGAGUCGGAGACGGCUCGUACAGUCGGCGCACGAGAGCGGUCCGGACGAAGACAUUCGGGAACCGAGGACGAAGACGCUCGUCGACUGCGGACGAAGACGCUCGUCGACUGCGGACGAAGACACCGGUCGACGCGCGAGGAAGAUGCUCCGGAACACGGGAAGAACGCCACACUCCCGAGUGCGGGAAGACACUCGUCAACGCAGAAGGAGACACGCAUCAAUGUCGGGCCGGCGCGAUUGUUUUAAAGACGAUUUAACGUGUAAAAUGAAUGUACGUGUUGUUUGUAGUAUUGUUUUUAGAGACCGACUCUGCGAAGACGGAGGAAGUCGAUACAUGUCGAGAAUGAAUUUAUUGAAGAUGUUGCCUGUGAUCACUAGGUGUUUGCACUAAUUUGGGGAGAUGAUUACGAUCGUAGAACGUCACGGAAUGCGGCGCGCACGUCAUUUGUGGCGGGACGCAUCCGUAAAUAACGGCAGC